UGGGGAAUAUUGCACAAUGGACGGAAGUUUGAUGCAGCGACGCCGCGUGGAGGGUGUAGGCCUUCGGGUUGUGAACUCCUUUUUCUCGCGAAAAAGGCACAGUUUUGGCUGUGUUGAUGGUAGUGGGGGAAGAAGCGCCGGCUAACUACGUGCCAGCAGCCGCGGUAAUACGUAGGGCGCGAGCGUUGUCCGGAUUUAUUGGGCGUAAAGAGCUCGUAGGUGGUUCGUCGCGUCUGUCGUGAAAGCCAGCAGCUUAACUGUUGGUCUGCGGUGGGUACGGGCGGGCUUGAGUGCGGUAGGGGUGACUGGAAUUCCUGGUGUAGCGGUGGAAUGUGCAGAUAUCAGGAGGAACACCGAUGGCGAAGGCAGGUCACUGGGCUGUUACUGACACUGAGGAGCUAAAGCGUGGGGAGCGAACAGG
Molecule: ribosomal RNA, 421 nt
Filed under: Fusobacteriota bacterium
Lineage: Bacteria; Fusobacteriati; Fusobacteriota
Description: Fusobacteria bacterium partial 16S ribosomal RNA
Rfam family: Bacterial small subunit ribosomal RNA
Source: RNAcentral